AUUGAACGCUGGCGGCAUGCUUUACACAUGCAAGUCGAACGGCAGCGCGGGCUUCGGCCUGGCGGCGAGUGGCGAACGGGUGAGUAAUGCAUCGGAACGUGCCCAGUAGUUGGGGAUAGCCCGGCGAAAGCCGGAUUAAUACCGCAUACGACCUGAGGGUGAAAGCGGGGGACCGAAAGGCCUCGCGCUAUUGGAGCGGCCGAUGUCGGAUUAGCUAGUUGGUGGGGUAAAGGCUUACCAAGGCGACGAUCCGUAGCUGGUCUGAGAGGACGACCAGCCACACUGGGACUGAGACACGGCCCAGACUCCUACGGGAGGCAGCAGUGGGGAAUUUUGGACAAUGGGGGCAACCCUGAUCCAGCCAUGCCGCGUGCGGGAAGAAGGCCUUCGGGUUGUAAACCGCUUUUGUUCGGGAAGAAAUACUCUGGGCUAAUACCCCGGGGGGAUGACGGUACCGGAAGAAUAAGCACCGGCUAACUACGUG
RNAcentral lists this ribosomal RNA (484 nucleotides) under uncultured bacterium. RNAcentral describes it as "partial 16S ribosomal RNA". It matches the Rfam family "Bacterial small subunit ribosomal RNA", at positions 29 to 507 of the family's 1533-position model. The record is from RNAcentral.